Molecule: long non-coding RNA, 293 nt
Organism: Folsomia candida
Lineage: Eukaryota; Metazoa; Arthropoda; Collembola; Entomobryomorpha; Isotomidae
Exons: 2
Source: RefSeq, a predicted model, not a curated record
UCUCGCACACACGUGUCGCUCCUCUAAAUCUUCACUCACAUCUCGAACGAAACACAAUCUCACCAUCUUGUAAAAUACUGACAACCAGGGUGCCGCAUGGAGGUACAAGAAAUGUGGCAAACCCACCAUAACCGAAACCCUGUUUCCAACCAGCAGCAGAAAGUCGUCCUAAUAUUUUUUCCUCGUCCAUCCAUCCAUCCAUCCCUUUAAAAAGGAAAAACUGUCCCAUACAAUGCAACAAUAAUAAUAAUAAUAACGAUGAAAAUAAUGCAAUAAAAUAAUCCUGAAGCAGA